UCCAAUCGACCUGGGCGAACAGCCCUACCGAUAGGCGACAGCGCCGCCGCCGGCGAAUCCCUUCAUCCUUUGCCUCGAUCGCUACCUUUAUCCUCUGCCUCGAUCGCUCCCUCCCAUGUUGCCUCCUUGUCCCGCUGUUCUAUGCCAGCCGACGAAUUCCUCCAGCGCAUGCACACGGGAAAGAGAUCACUUGGAGUAGAACUACCCACAUAUAAGAAUUGGCAGGAAAGGGGAUGGUCACAUGAAGUUUGUUGUCAUGUUGAACUGCGAGUUGUGUAAUCAGAAAGUGCUUCUGCCACUAUUGGCUAUAUAAUUUCGUUUUGCUCCCAGAAAAAAAUUGUUGGAAUAAUAAACAUUUCUUGUUCAACUAGGCCACGGUUCACUCAGUCGCAGAUGAUGGCGAGGCGACAAAGACGUACAGUGUGCCCAGCUCAUCCCGUGUUCGAUUGGGCUGGGGCGCUCAUGGCGGCGCUGAAAGGAAUCUCCUAGCCAAAUUUUAGCAUGGAGGCGCCUUCCAGAGCACCUUGCCGCUGAUAGUGAUGUCCGGCGGCGCGAGGACAUGGUGAGGCUUCAAUGAAUCAUCCAUGGAUCCGACGAUUUCAAGGCUUCGAAGGAUUAAAUAUGAGAACAUAAUUCUCGAAACGGAGGAGGUUCAAUUGGUGUUCCUGGAGAUGACAAGAAGGAUCAUUCAAGGGAAGAGGAUUCGUUGCAAGAGAGUCGAAUGCCGGCACGGGCGGUCCUCUCAAAGGGCUCAUUACAGCAUCACAAAGACACGGGCAACGGUGCUACUGCUGAUGGUAGAGAGAAGAUCAACGGCAAGGGAGGCAAGGGAAAAACUGAGGGUCAAGUCAAAGAGGGUUUACAACUAGGUAUAAAGCUUCACGAGGACUCACCUUCUUGGGAUGGAAGAUGAUCAGUUACUGAUAAGUUAUAAAAUUUCAAUAUUUUGGUGAUGGUACCGACUGGGUGUUCUUCCAGAUUUACUUCUAUCAUGUGUAUUAAAACACGUUCAGCUUAUGUAGAUGAUGCACAAAUACUGCAGUAAAAGUAAAUACAUUACCUGUAAAUUGAACUGUUGAUUUAGUAAUUCUACUUAUGGUCCAGCGAUCGAUCAAUUGUUGAGGCUACACUGAACCAAAAAUUGCUUACUGGGGCAGUACUAUAGUCUCUUGAUUAUGCUCUCAAGUAAAUAUCAUGUCUUCCUCUAAUUAGAAAUUUAGAAAACAAUAGGUUAAUCAGAAGCUUUCUUACAAAAAGAGUGCUCUUCAGAAGCUACUACAUGUAUACGCGAACAUCACAUGCAUGUUUUCUUAAUUUUCAGGUGCUUGUGAAUAUGUGCGGAAGUACAGUAGCCUGUAGCUUUGUAGGCGUUGAACUAAAUACCAAUCCAAGUAGGAGUGAAAGGAAGAUAAUAUAGGUUUUGAUCCGCCAAAAGGUCUAUUUAUUCUCAUUUCAGUUAAAAUUUACCUCUAAAACAUUGCAUGAAAUCCUGCGCAUAUUGGAUACUUUAUUUAUGCACCUUCUUGCAUUUUAAUUCCAUGUAAGUUGUGUACUCUAUUUAAUAAGUUAUUUGUAUUUUGGCUACAAAUGAUUUUAUUGGAUAUACUGUAGACAUUUUCCGCAGUGACUGUUGCAGCUUGCUAGACAUAGGAAAAGAUGGGAGUCAAUCCAAGAUGACAUCA
Triticum dicoccoides is the source of this 1682-nucleotide long non-coding RNA. RefSeq lists it as uncharacterized. NCBI's taxonomy places the organism in Eukaryota, Viridiplantae, Streptophyta, Magnoliopsida, Poales, Poaceae. The transcript is spliced from 4 exons. The record is from RefSeq and is a predicted model, not a curated record.